Molecule: ribosomal RNA, 279 nt
Filed under: uncultured bacterium
Lineage: Bacteria
Description: partial 16S ribosomal RNA
Rfam family: Bacterial small subunit ribosomal RNA
Source: RNAcentral
UGCCAGCAGCCGCGGUAAUACGGAGGGUGCUAGCGUUGUUCGGAAUCACUGGGCGUAAAGCGCGCGUAGGCGGUUUAUCAAGUUGGAAGUGAAAGCCCGGGGCCCAACCCCGGAAUUGCUUUCAAAACUGAUAAACUAGAGAAUGGUAGAGGAUAGCGGAAUACCUAGUGUAGAGGUGAAAUUCGUAGAUAUUGGGUGGAACACCAGAGGCGAAGGCGGCUAUCUGGGCCAUUUCUGACGCUAAGGCGCGAAAGCGUGGGGAGCACACAGGAUUAGAUA